Amphiprion ocellaris (clown anemonefish) is the source of this 3788-nucleotide long non-coding RNA. RefSeq lists it as uncharacterized. The record is from RefSeq and is a predicted model, not a curated record. The transcript is spliced from 2 exons. NCBI's taxonomy places the organism in Eukaryota, Metazoa, Chordata, Actinopteri, Pomacentridae.
GUCCGUUACAGCGGCUCCUCCUCCUCCAUCGGCUCCUCCUCGGGCCUGACAGGAAAUAAAACAUCACCGCUUAACGUUUAUUCGUCACACAUGUUGCACCGCAGAUAAUCUUCUGAACAUCAAAACCUGUAGACCAGUUUGAAAGGUUUUACCUCUGAUCCAUGGUGUUGGUGUUGGCCACGGACAGCGAGGCCAUGGCGCUGACGGCCUCGGCCUCCUCCGAGUCUCCUCGUUUGGCCUCGAGCAGAGAGAGUCCGAGCCGAGAGAGCGAACAGCGUUGGGGUUGGGCCUCUGCUCCAGGACGGCCUUCGGCAGCGGGUCCAGCUGCAUGGGGCACAAAAACAGCGAAAAUGUCAACACGAGCUGCAUUUGAAAUAUUUUCCACCAGAGGUCAGGCUCAGUGGAACUCAGAGCUUCAUCUCGCACCUUGUUUGGUUUCUCAGGCCCUGAAUGGAAGAUGCUGUGACUUUUGUCUUUUAUUCCCACAAAGUGAGCAGUAAACAAAACUAAUGGGUAAACAUAAAAGCACAACUGAGUAGUUCCUUAUUCCUCCACACAAAUGCACACUUAAAUCAGCAUAUUUUCCAAAACUACACUUUUUAUACCUCUUACAUAUCCUGAGGGUACAACAUUACUAUAUUACUCUGUAUUCAAGAUGUGCUUAAAUAUUUAGCUACUGAUGCGUUCUUGGUACUUUUGCCACCAAAUAAUUACAUUUAAUACAUUUACUAUAGUACAACAGGAGUUUUGGACCAGUUUUUAUAAUACAACAUUUUCCAGUCUUGUAGUGUAACUGAGAUGAGAGAAGAGAACAAAACCCUUCAGUGUUAAGUCACUACGAUGCAUGUUGGACAUAUCCAGGCCCAACAAAAACUAAACCUCAGUAUGGUGGUUUUCAAUGUUCUUUGCACAGUAAGUUAAACUUAUUUUUUUAACCAUAUUGUACUGAAGUACAUUUAAUCUGACACUGUCUCAUAAUGCAGGAUAUCGCUUUCAUUUUUGGUCAAAGUGCAACUAACAUUACUGAUUAAAUAUUCACUGUAAUAAAUACCAAUAGAUAACUAAUGCUCUAAUCAGUGUUCUAUCAGCUGCAGUACCAGGAUGUAAACGGACCAAACAUAUUUAUGUGAUUUCUGCAUUAUCCAUGAAAUACACUUCAGGUUUCAAUGGCAACGCGAUGCAUACAGUGUGUGACACUGUAACCGCUUCAUUCAGCGGUUUUAGAAAUGUACAGAUCAACGUGUUCACAGACGAAAUAUCAGCUGAGAAUCUGAAUCACUCAUAAAGAAUCAUCAGGAAAUGUUUUGGUAAAAGGGAGACGCUUCUUACGACCGAUUUAAAUCUGAACUCCUAACAGAACCUGCUCCUGACCAAAAUAGCUCCACAUCAGCUACCAUGGCGAUCUACCUCCACAGCAUCAGUUACCAUGGAGAUCGAGCUCCACAGCAUCAGUUACCAUGGAGAUCUAGCUCCACGGCAUCAGUUACCAUGGAGACCUAGCUCCACGGCAUCAGUUACCAUGGAGACCUAGCUCCACGGCAUCAGUUACCAUGGAGACCUAGCUCCACGGCAUCAGUUACCAUGGAGAUCUAGCUCCACAGCAUCAGUUACCAUGGAGAUCUAGCUCCACAGCAUCAGUUAUCAUGGAGACCUAGCUCCACAGCAUCAGUUACCAUGGAGAUCUAGCUCCACAGCAUCAGUUACCAUGGAGAUCUAGCUCCACAGCAUCAGCUACCAUGGAGAUCUAGCUCCACAGCAUCAGUUACCAUGGAGAUCUAGCUCUGACAAAUUCCACCACUGCCUCUGUAUAUUACGAUAUAUACAUGAAGACAAGCAGUAAAAUCAGGACAGCUUUGUUCUAUGUAGUUCAAUUGCUGCAACAGUAGAUAAACAUGAGAUUAAAAUAAAUACUGAGUAACAGAGGCAGGAAUGAAGGGUUUGUGUGCUUCAACGUCCAGCUUUACAACCAGAGCAGCAUGCCCUCCUUCGUCUUUUAAUAAGAUUCAGAUCUCGUCUGUGGGUAAAGCGACCUCCUUACCUCCUGGCCCAGCAGGGCGGCCACACAGGCCUCCGAGGCGUCGCAGAUGGCGGUGAGGUCGUGACCCCCCUCCAGAGCCAGGACCACCCGGCCUCCAGCAAGGGUCAUCAGCUGCCUGGUCAGAUACCCGAAACCUGAGGAGACGUUACAGGACGGAGGUGAAUGAAUGUAAAUGAAUCCGCAGAACGCCACAGAGGUUCACUCUAAUUUACAUUUUAGCAGAUGUGUUUCAGUGUCUGCUCUAAGAGUGAGAGAUAAAAAAAACACGCCUCAGAUACUCACAUUUGGAUGUCAGGGUGUAGCCGCCCAGCGGAGGAGGAUGUCCCUCUACAGCAUCGAAGCCUGAGGAGACCAGCACGAUGUCUGGGGCAAACUCAUUGGCGAUGGGCAUCACCACCGUCCUGCAGGAGGCGAGAAGGAGAGUGGAGGUUGUACAGCCAGAAUACCAAUGAAGACUAAACUCAACACAGAACAAAGAUGCUAACUAUUGAUUUUACGCAAGUGGCACCUUUGGAGCAAAAUUCCUCGAUGCGACUCCUGUAUUGUGGCUAAUAACAGUAAUUAUAAUAAUACGUCUUCUCAGUUAUCGUUACUGUUUUUCAGGAUCAUGAAUAGAAUAUAUUUGAGUUUUAAAAGGUUAUUUUAUUGACCUAAAGCCUAAUCAAUGAAGAAAAAUGACAGUAAUGAUUAGCUGCAGCCAAACAAACAACAAAACUGUGAUCUACUUGGAUUUCAGUAUAAAAGUAUUAUAUAAGUAACUAUAACGGAGCAGAGCUGUAGACAAAUGGGAAUGACUGUGGGUCAAACUUACGUUUUUAAUGGCAGCUAAUAUAACAUCCAUUUUCAUUUUGGCUCCUGAUGGUGAUUUAGCUUCAGUCUUUUGAGGAAAAUGUCUGUUUAUAUUAGUCAAAAUUUUUGAUUUAUGUUAGUUUUCGUCUGCAACAUUUCAGUUUUGCAAUUUUUAAAGAUUUUCGUUGUGAAAAAUAAGUUGCCACCAAAGAUUUUUCAUUUUAGUUUUCAUGACAAAAUUAACAAUGAUCCAAAACAUUCCAUACUUUAUUUGAAGAAUAUCAGUUUGCGCUUUUAAACAAAAGAUUUUAAGCUCCAACUGAACAAACCGAACAAACUAAGAAGGUUCUUCUGUUCCUGUGUGGACUGAAGGAAGAGCAUAAACAGCUGAACUGGACACUUCAUGUCUAAUAGCAGUGUUUGUUUUGUAGGUUGGUUGAUAAUGACGUGGAAUCAAAUCAGAUCUGGUACCUGAAGGCAGCCAGGUACUCUACGUCUCCCAUGGGUGGGUCGAGGCCUCCAGUGAAGGCAACGUUGACGUUGAAGCCGACUCCAGCACCACUGCCAACCUGCAGGGACAAGCUUGGAACUCACUUUUGUAUUUACAGCACAAACACAAACAACAAAAAACAAUUCAAGUCUGCUGGCUUUUAGCAGCAAUUGUAACUGUCAUUGUGCACAAAAGUAUUUUUUGAGUUCUCUCCACUUCCAGGCAUGCCAGUGCUGUCUCUAUUAAGAUGCUGCUGUGAAUAACGGGCCCACAGUGAGUAAAAAUGUGACAGCAGCAAAAAACUGCUACUGGUUAAAUAAAAAUAUUUGUAUCUAAAACAUACAGACCACACAAGGAUUGAUGUGCUUUACUUGGGUUUGUACUGCAAAAAGGAAAUAUUUAAAUUGUUCUGUCCUUGUGUGCAGAAAUUUAACCAGCAUCAUCUAUUAAAAAAAGUUAUUAUUUGCUGUG